AUUGAACGCUGGCGGCAGGCUUAACACAUGCAAGUCGAGCGGGGGAAGGUAGCUUGCUACCGGACCUAGCGGCGGACGGGUGAGGAAUGCUUAGGAAUCUGCCUAUUAGUGGGGGACAACAUCUCGAAAGGGGUGCUAAUACCGCAUACGUCCUACGGGAGAAAGCAGGGGAUCUUCGGACCUUGCGCUAAUAGAUGAGCCUAAGUCGGAUUAGCUAGUUGGUGGGGUAAAGGCCUACCAAGGCGACGAUCUGUAGCGGGUCUGAGAGGAUGAUCCGCCACACUGGGACUGAGACACGGCCCAGACUCCUACGGGAGGCAGCAGUGGGGAAUAUUGGACAAUGGGGGGAACCCUGAUCCAGCCAUGCCGCGUGUGUGAAGAAGGCCUUAUGGUUGUAAAGCACUUUAAGCGAGGAGGAGGCUACUCUAGUUAAUACCUAGGGAUAGUGGACGUUACUCGCAGAAUAAGCACCGGCUAACUCUGUGCCAGCCGCCGCGGUAA
This 501-nucleotide ribosomal RNA is filed under the name uncultured bacterium. RNAcentral describes it as "partial 16S ribosomal RNA". It matches the Rfam family "Bacterial small subunit ribosomal RNA", at positions 30 to 523 of the family's 1533-position model. The record is from RNAcentral.